Molecule: non-coding RNA, 708 nt
Organism: Nicotiana tabacum (common tobacco)
Lineage: Eukaryota; Viridiplantae; Streptophyta; Magnoliopsida; Solanales; Solanaceae
Source: RefSeq, a predicted model, not a curated record
UACAAAAAACUCUGAAACUUAGGCAAGAGAGAUACGUACAAAAAAGAAUAUAGAGGUAUUUAUAUACAUGAAUAUUGGCAUGCACUUCAGCAUUAAUAGUCUACCACUGGUUAAGUUUAUAUUUUAACAUGUUUCAGAUAAUAAAGUUGGCAAACUUGAUACUUUGCCAAUAUUUUAAAACCUUGCAUUCAAACUUAGAAAGAAAGAUCAAUCGUGCCAUUCGACUAGCUGAACUCUACAAGCCCUACCUGUUCUUCAAAGGAAUUUUCAAUGAUUCCAAUGUUGAAAUGUUGCAAAUGAUAACAAGAGAAAGUAAUGCAGAUGAUACGUUUAAUUUUGAUCCAACAACUAUUCAGUGGGAACAAUACUUCAAGGAAAUUCAUAUUCCCGGAUUAGUGAAGUACAUUUUCUAAGAAGGAAGAAUUACGCGAAUAAAGAAGGCUAGUAUGCCACUCUGCUUAAAGCUGUGUUGCUGCUUAAAUUCCAUUUUGUAGUUUUUUAAGUAACUACGUUAGUUCCAGAAACAGUAUUGAUUCUAAAUAAAGGAGGCUAAUAUGCUACUUUGCUUACCGUAGAAAUCUGUGUUUGCGCUGCUUAAAUUCCAUCAAGAAAAUAUUGGCAUUAUUAUAUGUAAAGAAAUUGAAGGACUAUUUUUGCUAUUUCACAAAAAUGAUUGAUAACUAUUGCCACCAGCAAACUGAACUCAAA